RNAcentral lists this ribosomal RNA (253 nucleotides) under uncultured bacterium. RNAcentral's name for it is "partial 16S ribosomal RNA". It matches the Rfam family "Bacterial small subunit ribosomal RNA", at positions 524 to 776 of the family's 1533-position model. The record is from RNAcentral.
UACGUAGGAGGCAAGCGUUAUCCGGAAUGACUGGGCGUAAAGGGUGCGUAGGCGGCUUUACAGGUCCGUUGUGAAAACUCGAGGCUCAACCUCGAGACGCCGGUGGAAACCGUAAAGCUAGAGUCCGGAAGAGGAGAGUGGAAUUCCUGGUGUAGCGGUGAAAUGCGCAGAUAUCAGGAAGAACACCCGUGGCGAAGGCGGCUCUCUGGGACGGUACUGACGCUGAGACGCGAAAGCGUGGGGAGCAAACGGG